Oryza sativa Japonica Group (Japanese rice) is the source of this 593-nucleotide long non-coding RNA. RefSeq lists it as uncharacterized. NCBI's taxonomy places the organism in Eukaryota, Viridiplantae, Streptophyta, Magnoliopsida, Poales, Poaceae. The record is from RefSeq and is a predicted model, not a curated record.
AUUGUCUGCAUUCGCUCGUGGGAUACGAGGGGCUGAGGGCGCCUUGGCCCUGGUCGAUCGCUCCAAAUUUUCGAAACAAGCCCUUGAUUUGUUUAUAUUUACACAAACAAAAGAGCAAAGUGAAAGGUUUAGUUGUUCACCGGUUGCUGGCCGUGGCCUUCCCGCCGGAGGAGGAGGAGGAGAUGGGCCAUCCGGCGGCGGGGCGGGAGGAGCGUCGGCGGAGACCCAUGGCGUCGCGGGCUGCCCGCCGCGGAGAUCACUGAACUUCUUCAACCUUCUCAUCAUUUGCAAGAAACCAUGAAUGAGUGUCACUGCUCUCCCGCUUCUGGCCUCCAGUCCUGCUUGCUCUUACAUAGGCAAAAUAGUGCCCGCCAUCCAACUUUUGACCUCCGUGCACAAUUACCGCUACAAGGCAAUAUUUGUACUCAUUGUCCAGAUAUCUGAACAUCAGAGAAAUGAAUAAUGGUUAAAAAUAUUUUUUUUUGAAGAAGUUAUCACCAAAGUUAUUGGCACUAUGAUCUUAUCGUGUAUCAUAUUGGAUCAGUAUUGAAAAAAUAUGAGCUAUGUUAUAUUCAACUAAGUAGAAGUAUUAA